Sebastes umbrosus (honeycomb rockfish) is the source of this 133-nucleotide long non-coding RNA. RefSeq lists it as uncharacterized. The transcript has 4 exons. The record is from RefSeq and is a predicted model, not a curated record. NCBI's taxonomy places the organism in Eukaryota, Metazoa, Chordata, Actinopteri, Perciformes, Sebastidae.
AAACCACUUAGUUGGUUUUGGAAAAACAUCAUGGUUGGGCUUAAAAUAAGUACGUAAACUAGGUAAAAUACGUACAUAGACAACGUAACAUACGUGCGGAAAACACGUCACUAAAAUCAAACACAAAAUAACC